AUUGUUUGUGGGACACAAGAUGUGUCAUAGACCAGAUGGUCGUGUGCUGUAUAACUCAGUUAUCUGAGAAGACAGAGUAAAGGAAUGUGUGCUAAGGGAGAGCAGGGCACCAUCUGUUCCACUUUUUUUUUUCCUUGUGGCCAGAAAGGGACUUUAAAAACAAAAGUGGCCUCUUUGGUUAUAAUAUCCCAUUUUCAUUUUGCUAAUUUUACCACCGGGACUUGGCCCAGGUGAAUUGCAUUUCAGGGCAGGAACAAUUAGCAAGUGUUUAUCUUCCUAGCUCUAUCAUUUAGAAAUAAAAUGCCUCUGAGACCUCCUUGGUCAUUUACCAUUCAAAACCACAAAGGUAUUUUCACCAGAUGAACCGUCACUGUUUUGUACAUACAGAACAUAACCAAUGAGGAUAUUUCUGCUGGCUGAAGGAAGCAGGCUGAAAGGAGUGCCUAAAAAUCUAUUCACUGGAACAAAGUAGAUAUCAAGAAUAGAACAAGGCUCUUGGUUGCUAUGUCUAUAUCUAACGUCCCCAGUGGGUCAAUAGGAUAAAAGGUGCAAGAUGCAGAUACUUUUGAGUGACAUCUCUAAUAAAGUAUAUGAAUCGUAUAUUGGAUUGCAACAUGCUGUGUUGCUGGUUUAUUGCAGCACUUCAAAUACACAUAGAAUAAAUCUUUGUUCUGUUA
Molecule: non-coding RNA, 677 nt
Organism: Pantherophis guttatus
Lineage: Eukaryota; Metazoa; Chordata; Lepidosauria; Squamata; Colubridae
Source: RefSeq, a predicted model, not a curated record